This 1273-nucleotide long non-coding RNA is filed under the name Sarcophilus harrisii (Tasmanian devil). RNAcentral's name for it is "lncRNA (ENSSHAG00000022805.1)". Lineage: Eukaryota; Metazoa; Chordata; Mammalia; Dasyuromorphia; Dasyuridae. The record is from RNAcentral.
GAAUCUUUCUGACCAUGAAGGUAGGAUCUUGUUGUCUUCUCCACUGGUGGGGUCUUGCUGUUGGCUUUCCAUGGAUAAUCAGAUCUCUCUGCUGAUAGACCACAGAGGUGAUGAUCAUUCAGUGCAAUACAAUUUAAUGGCCAAAUUCUUCUGAGAUUUAUUGGUGUCAGUCUAGGAAGAGGAGCAUUUUUUAUUUCAUGAGUGAUGAGAUUUCUACAAGAUUAAUAAAAUAAACCCUCUGGAUGGGUGUUAAUGAGAGAGUUGGAACAUGUAAGAUGUCAAUCUGUAAUUUGACAGAGAAGUUGAUUGAAGAAGAUCUACCAUCUAUAUAUGACACUGACUAAGAUGAAUAUGGAGAAGAAUAAAAUAUGACAUUAUAUCCAAGUUUACUGUGAAAAUCUCCAGCUAGAGGAUGGAAUCCUUCCAAGAGAUCUUCCAGCAAAAUACAAGCUAUUAGAUCAACAGAAAACCACUCCACACUAAGUAGAAAAGUGACUAUAUAAAUUAGCAUUUUACAAGAAUCCCAAAGAAUGGCAAAGACCCAUGUAAUGACAACAUAUUUCAAUGAUGUGAUUAACCACAAGGGAGCUAAUCAGACUCCUUGGUAAAUUAAACAAAAAAAGGAGAUUUAAGGAAUUUGGAUGCCAAGAAAGAUGUCCACUAUUUAUAGAUGUGACAGGGAACCCAACAGUAGGUAGAGAGCUACAUUAGAUACUUAGUUUGUCAGACUCUGGACAAGUCACUUAAUCUUUUGGAACACAAUUUGCUCAUCUGUUAAAAUUACUUCCAAUUACAUUACAUUCUCAGUUUCUGAUUCUAUGAUCCUGACAGUUGGUAUCAGAUGAUGGUCUUUGUGAAGAGAAUGAAGGCCAAAAUCUGGAUGAAAAAAUAUUUGUAUUUUUAUAGGUAUUGGAGAGAUAUACUAAAAUUAUGCAGAUCUGGGUUAAAAUAUUGGCCAUAGGAUGGUGGAGUUGAGUAUUGAGAUUGGUUCUUAUUUGUAUAUACUCCAGACAUGGAAACCCCAAGAAAAAAGAAUACAGCAACAAACUCUGUUGAGGCAGAAGAUAGCAAAAUUCACCCUAAGCCAUUAUUUGUCAUCAGAUCUAGACGUGAAACUGUAGACUCAGGACUCAGCAUAGUUUGUCCCAUAAAUAUGGAGGAAAUUAAGGGGGAAAAAAGGAUAAUAAGUCACUAUAAAAGUGUCUGGAUUAUCCUAUACUUUUUCUAGGAAUUUUGAGACUUAUAUGCCAGAUUCAGCUUGGUGAUGUUUUAG